This 68-nucleotide transfer RNA is filed under the name Marmota monax (woodchuck). Its description in RNAcentral is "tRNA.Ala". The record is from RNAcentral. Lineage: Eukaryota; Metazoa; Chordata; Mammalia; Rodentia; Sciuridae.
GGACUGUAGCUAAGUGGUAGAGCACUUGCCUUGCAGAUGUGAGACCCUGGGUUCGAUCCUCAGCACCA